GACGAACGCUGGCGGCGUGCUUAACACAUGCAAGUCGAACGGAAAGGCCCUGCUUUUGUGGGGUGCUCGAGUGGCGAACGGGUGAGUAACACGUGAGUAACCUGCCCUUGACUUUGGGAUAACUUCAGGAAACUGGGGCUAAUACCGGAUAGGAGCUCCUGCUGCAUGGUGGGGGUUGGAAAGUUUCGGCGGUUGGGGAUGGACUCGCGGCUUAUCAGCUUGUUGGUGGGGUAGUGGCUUACCAAGGCUUUGACGGGUAGCCGGCCUGAGAGGGUGACCGGCCACAUUGGGCCUGAGAUACGGCCCAGACUCCUACGGGAGGCAGCAGUGGGGAAUAUUGCACAAUGGGCGGAAGCCUGAUGCAGCAACCCCGCGUGCGGGAUGACGGCCUUCGGGUUGUAAACCGCUUUCGCCUGUGACGAAGCGUGAGUGACGGUAAUGGGUAAAGAAGCACCGGCUAACUACGUG
RNAcentral lists this ribosomal RNA (468 nucleotides) under uncultured bacterium. RNAcentral describes it as "partial 16S ribosomal RNA". It matches the Rfam family "Bacterial small subunit ribosomal RNA", at positions 28 to 507 of the family's 1533-position model. The record is from RNAcentral.